This 538-nucleotide long non-coding RNA is filed under the name Androctonus crassicauda. Lineage: Eukaryota; Metazoa; Arthropoda; Arachnida; Scorpiones; Buthidae. The record is from RNAcentral.
AAUAUUGAAUGAAAAUUAAAAACAAAAUACAUACAAACCUUUCUUUAUUCUGAAUACAAAAUAGGACUCAUGGGAAUACAAAGUAGUGUUGUUCCAUGCAUUAUUAAAUAGAGUGGAGACUCACCGUAUGGAAGAUAAAUCCGCAGAAUUAGAUUGGAUUUUACAACAAGCUUUCAAACAUGAUUACACUAGAAAUUGUAUCCUUAAACUUUGGGAGCCAAUGCAAAACAAAGUGAAAAAUAAGUUAGAAAGUACAGAUGAACUUAAGGAGACAUUUAAAGUAGAAUUAAAACCACUCAUAUUAAAACAUAGGGAAAAAAACUUUAGGAAAAAGAAGGAACACAAUGAUCAAUUGUUUGAGGAAUGAUAAAGAUCAGAUAGAUAAAAAUCAAGUCCUGGGUGUGUAUCAGAUCGAAUUUAAUAACAUGGAUUUACAACAAAAACAAUUUUAUAUAUGAUACACCUCAUGCACACUUCCUAAAAGAAUUUUAGAAUACAAAUACGACCUAGAAAAAGAGAAAAACACUAAUGUUUUGGC